Molecule: long non-coding RNA, 1489 nt
Filed under: Gossypium raimondii (Peruvian cotton)
Lineage: Eukaryota; Viridiplantae; Streptophyta; Magnoliopsida; Malvales; Malvaceae
Description: long non-coding RNA (GRAI_LNC004722)
Source: RNAcentral
GGGAAGCCAUAUUUAGGGUUUUCAAGGUUCCAAUCUCCAUAGUAAGUGAUUCCAAGCCCCGUUUUUAAUGUUCUUUAUGUUUUUGAGAUCCCGGUAGCUUAAUUUAGCUUAUUCUAGCAAUAAUUUAACCUAGGGUUUAUAUUUGGAAAAAUACCCAUAGGUGAAAAGUGUUUAUUUUGAUGUUUUAUGAUAGAAUAUGAAGCUAUAAAUUAUGUUAAACAACUUUUGCUAGCCGAUUUUAAGCGAAAACGAGUAAGUUGACAUAAUCGGUAAAAAUCCCUAAUGUACAUAAGUAAGUGUUAGAGUGAGAAUUUGAUGUUGUCAUAGAAGAGAAAAAUUUUAAGCAUGUUAUAAAACAUAAGAAUAUGAAAUUAAGUUUAAUUUCUGGGCCUUGGGGAAAAAAUGUAAUUAUGUAAAAGUUUAGGGGUAAAAUCGUAAUUUUGACAAAGCUAGAGUCGAGGGCUGUUUUGAUAAAUGUGAGUAUUAAAUGAGUUAAAUUUGCUAUUUUAGAUCAAGAAGAACGAAACUCGAGGUUAGACAAAGGAAAGAAUAAAGUUGAAGACUAAGUUGGUGAAUUGGGCUAUAUUUGGGAUCGAGGUAAGUUUACGAUAAAUAAAUGCAAUAUUUCAAUAACUUUUAUUAAUGCUGAUAUUUUCCAGCAACUAUGAAUUUAUUUGAUGUUGAUUCAAGUAUAUAAUGAUAAAGAAUUUAAUAUUAAAAAGUCCCGUUGAUACAUAAGGAAAGUACUGGAUACGAAUGUCAUGCCAUUUGGGUAAAGAGAUCCCAUGUAAGACCAUGUCUGGGACAUGGCGUUGGCACCGAGACAAGGGGUCCCCUGUAAGACCAUGUCUGGGACAUGGCAUGGGCACCGAUAUGAGAACAUCUCAUGUAAGACCAUGUUUGGGACAUGGCUUUGGCAUGUUAUGAUCAGAAAAGACCCAAGUAUCCUUAUUAUUCCAAUGUGGCUCAACGGGUUAGUAAACGAAUCAUGUACAUGAAAGUUCAGUUAAAAGCAAAAAUGGCAAGCUUAGGUGAGUUAUAAGAGUUAAGAAUUUAUUAUAUUGACAAUUGAUAUUCAACGAUGCAGCAAGAGAAGAGUAAGUUAUGCACACAAGUAUACUAAGUAAACAAGCAAGAGAACUAGAAUGAGAUUAACUAAAGAGUAAACUAGAGAUAUAGACACUUGAGUUUAAUUAUUUGUGUUUAAUGUUGUUAUUUAUUUGCUAGUAAACUUACUAAGUUUUAUGCUUACUUAUUUUAUUUCUCUUUCUCUUAUAGUAUUGCAAGCUACUUCAAGUAUCCUAAAGAAGUCGGAGAUCGUCCACACUAUCAACCGCAAUAAUUCGGUAUUUUAUGAUGAACCAUGUUUGGGUUAUGGCAUGUAUAGGGACUUAGUUAUUUUGAAUGUUUGUAUUUAUGAUUUUUCUAAAGGAUAUUAUGUAAGUAUUUGAUGAUGACUGGUUGUUAAAUAUGGUUAAGUAUGAAGGUG